CGAACCGUGAAAGCGUGGCCUAUCGAUCCU
This 30-nucleotide small nuclear RNA is filed under the name Arabidopsis thaliana (thale cress). RNAcentral describes it as "snRNA_16105". Lineage: Eukaryota; Viridiplantae; Streptophyta; Magnoliopsida; Brassicales; Brassicaceae. The record is from RNAcentral.